GCCUGGGUGGCUCAGUAGUUGAGCGUCUGCCUUCUGCUCAGGUCAUGAUCUUGGGGUCCUGGGAUCAAGUCCCACACCAGGCU
Canis lupus familiaris (dog) is the source of this 83-nucleotide non-coding RNA. Lineage: Eukaryota; Metazoa; Chordata; Mammalia; Carnivora; Canidae. The record is from Rfam.